Molecule: ribosomal RNA, 497 nt
Filed under: uncultured bacterium
Lineage: Bacteria
Description: partial 16S ribosomal RNA
Rfam family: Bacterial small subunit ribosomal RNA
Source: RNAcentral
GAUGAACGCUGGCGGCGUGCCUAAUACAUGCAAGUCGAGCGAACGGACGAGAAGCUUGCUGCUCUGAUGUUAGCGGCGGACGGGUGAGUAACAGGUGGAUAACCUACCUAUAAGACUUGGAUAACGUCGGGAAACCGGAGCUAAUACCGGAUAAUAUUUUUAACCGCAUGGUUCAAAAGUUAAAGACGGUCUUGCUGUCACUUAUAGAUGGAUCCGCGCUGCAUUAGCUAGUUGGUAAGGUAACGGCUUACCAAGGCAACGAUGCAUAGCCGACCUGAGAGGGUGAUCGGCCACACUGGAACUGAGACACGGACCAGACUCCUAAGGGAGGCAGCAGUAGGGAAUCUUCCGCAAUGGGCGAAAGCCUGACGGAGCAACGCAGCGUGAGUGAUGAAGGUCUUCGGAUCGUAAAACUCUGUUAUUAGGGAAGAACAUAUGUGUAAGUAACUGUGCACAUCUUGACGGUACCUAAUCAGAAAGCCACGGCUAACUACGUG